This 282-nucleotide unclassified non-coding RNA is filed under the name Hevea brasiliensis (rubber tree). Lineage: Eukaryota; Viridiplantae; Streptophyta; Magnoliopsida; Malpighiales; Euphorbiaceae. The record is from RNAcentral.
GUUGGAUUUGCUUUUCUUUUUGGAUGAUUUCCCACUUUUGAUAGGAGUGCAAGGUGCUAAAUAAACUUUGUUCUUUCAUAUGCUUACAAAAUAAUGAAUUUAAGUCUGUGUUCCUUGUUAGGCAUGAAAUUUCAAAUGAUGCCCGAGUACUUUUUGAUAUUCAGUGUUUCUGCAUGUGCAUCUUUGGUGAACCUAUGCUUGGGAGUCCAUAUUAAUUAGUAAUAGUAUGUAAGAAGUAGGAUCCUAACUCAUCUUAUUUAGGGUUAUCAUAGUAGUUUUCUU